AUUGCGAACUGCUUUACAUGAUUUGCAAAUGCUUUAUUUUAUUUUAAAUUUAAAUCGCAUGAACUAUUAUACAUAGUUUUGAAACCGAUUUAGAUUCAUUGUAACAUGCUUACUAUUGGGCGGCAAUAGUGCUGUGUGAUCACCGGUAUUGCAUUUAGAAUGUGUUUGCAUAAAAAUGGUAUGUGGAAAUCCGGACGACGGUCUGUAAGUCUGAGACGACGGUCCAGAUAUAUGGAAACAGAUCUUCAGAGGCAACGGAAUAUAGACGACCAAAGGCAGGCGAGUAGUUUGAGGUGUGGAUUUCCAAUUUCUUGUUCCGGAAAUCCCUGGCUUGAAUAAAGUGAGAAUGACUUUUCCUUUA
This is a long non-coding RNA of Mercurialis annua (annual mercury), 361 nucleotides long. RefSeq lists it as uncharacterized. The transcript is spliced from 2 exons. The record is from RefSeq and is a predicted model, not a curated record. NCBI's taxonomy places the organism in Eukaryota, Viridiplantae, Streptophyta, Magnoliopsida, Malpighiales, Euphorbiaceae.